Long non-coding RNA from Oncorhynchus keta (chum salmon), 473 nucleotides. RefSeq lists it as uncharacterized. The transcript is spliced from 2 exons. NCBI's taxonomy places the organism in Eukaryota, Metazoa, Chordata, Actinopteri, Salmoniformes, Salmonidae. The record is from RefSeq and is a predicted model, not a curated record.
AGUUGCACUGUGCAUAGGACAACAGGGGAGAGAAAGAAACAGCUAUGUUAACUCAAAACAUUCACAACAUGAAGUCGAUGUUUUACCGUAAGAAGAAAAUGUAAGUUUGGGCAUAGAUUAGGUUUAGGAACGAGGGUUAUGGUUGGGGAUAGAUUAGGUUUAGGAACGAGGGUUAUGGUUGGGGAUAGAUUAGGUUUAGGAACGAGGGUUAUGGUUGGGGAUAGAUUAGGUUUAGGAACGAGGGUUAUGGUUGGGGAUAGAUUAGGUUUAGGAACGAGGGUUAUGGUUGGGCAUAGAUUUCAGAUGUUAAAGUAGGGAAAGGCAUGAAAUUUAACAAUGUACAUUUAUUUUUUUUAUUUUCUGCCGGGUCAAAUAUACACUGUCUUCACAAUAAUUCUCUCUCUCUCUCUCUCUCUCUCUCUCUCUCUCUCUCUCUCUCUCUCUCUCUCUCUCUCUCUCUCUCUCUCUCUCUC